GCUCCCAUAGCUCAAGCGGCGAGAGCGGCACGACGAUGACGUGUCAGCACUAGAUGGGUGCAAGGUCCGGGUUCGAGUCCCGGUGGGAGCA
Molecule: transfer RNA, 91 nt
Filed under: Blastocatellia bacterium
Lineage: Bacteria; Pseudomonadati; Acidobacteriota; Blastocatellia
Description: tRNA-Ile
Rfam family: tRNA
About the family: Transfer RNA (tRNA) molecules are approximately 80 nucleotides in length.
Source: RNAcentral